Molecule: transfer RNA, 83 nt
Filed under: Clostridia bacterium
Lineage: Bacteria; Bacillati; Bacillota; Clostridia
Description: tRNA-Leu
Rfam family: tRNA
About the family: Transfer RNA (tRNA) molecules are approximately 80 nucleotides in length. Their secondary structure includes four short double-helical elements and three loops (D, anti-codon, and T loops).
Source: RNAcentral
GCGGGCGUGGCGAAACUGGCAGACGCUCAGGUUUCAGAAUCCUGUGGUAUUCCGUGCAAGUUCAAAUCUUGUCGCCUGCACCA